AGCAGCAGCCGCGGUAAUACGGAGGGUGCAAGCGUUAAUCGGAAUUACUGGGCGUAAAGCGCACGCAGGCGGUCUGACAAGUCAGAUGUGAAAUCCCCGGGCUUAACCUGGGAACUGCAUUUGAAACUGUCAGGCUGGAGUCUUGUAGAGGGGGGUAGAAUUCCAGGUGUAGCGGUGAAAUGCGUAGAGAUCUGGAGGAAUACCGGUGGCGAAGGCGGCCCCCUGGACAAAGACUGACGCUCAGGUGCGAAAGCGUGGGGAGCAAACAGGAUUAGAUACCCCGGUAGUCCCUGUCUCUUAUAA
This 303-nucleotide ribosomal RNA is filed under the name uncultured bacterium. Its description in RNAcentral is "partial 16S ribosomal RNA". It matches the Rfam family "Bacterial small subunit ribosomal RNA", at positions 507 to 809 of the family's 1533-position model. The record is from RNAcentral.